Long non-coding RNA from Herpailurus yagouaroundi (jaguarundi), 1085 nucleotides. RefSeq lists it as uncharacterized. The transcript has 4 exons. Lineage: Eukaryota; Metazoa; Chordata; Mammalia; Carnivora; Felidae. The record is from RefSeq and is a predicted model, not a curated record.
CGCAGGGUGGGGUGUGCAGGGGGCGUGAUGGAGGAAGACGGCAGAAUCCACAGAGGGGGCAAAUGAAUGCUCGGACUCAACCAUGUCCCCCAGAGCGCCCCCCACCCCCGGGGACUGUAUUUGGAGGUGGGGCCUCUACACCGGGAAUUAAGGUGGAAUGAGGUCCUCAGGAAGGGCCCUGAUCCCACAGGAAGGGGAGGAGACGCAGUGUCCCGCGCGGGAAGACGCAGAGAGAAGGUGGCCGGCUGUGAGCCAAGGAGGGAGCCUCCCCAGGAGGGGGACCCCCGCCCUGUCCACGCUCUGACCUUGGCCUUCUGGCCUCCGGAACCCUGAGAGAAUCACUGUCUGCUGUUUGAGCCCCCAGUCGGCGGUUUCCGUGUGGAUGUGUGCUGUUUUCCGUUCUCUUGGGAGCACCAAGGAGUGCUGUCACCAGAGUUGGCCAGAGGUGUUCUGGGGAUGACCGAGGAAUGAGACGAGACACCUGCUCCUAGGAUGUCUCCCUAGCCAGCUCCUUGGACCUUGAAUUUCCCCUACCCUCCCAGCCAGUUGGACUCUUUAAAGAGAGAAAAGCCCUUGGCCACCCAGCGACUGCUGAUUACCCCCACCAUGCAGGAGAGAUGAAAACUUCUGUGCGCACAAGAAUGAAACCUUCAUGGCAGCUUUGUUCGUAAUAACCCCCAAAAUGGAAACAACCAAGUUCACUCCGUGGAGUAUUACUCAACAACGAAGCGGAGUGGGUUCAAUACAAGUUUCCGGAGCACUCUGCCGAGAAGAGCUGGUCCCCAGAGUCACAUGUCGUACGAUCCCAUGUAUAGAACACUCUUGGAAUGAUGAGGUUAUAGUGAAGGAGAACAGCUUAGUGUUUGUCAGGGGUUGGGGAGAGUGGGGCAGGGGUGUAUGGAGAGCUUUGGGGUGAUGGAACAGCGUAGUAUCUUGAGGGUAGUGGCAGUUCUGGGACUUCACACGUGUGACUUCAAACAUGGCAUAGAACCAGACACACGUGUUAUUUCCACGUCGCUUUCCCAGUUUUAGUUUUUAGUAUUUUUUUUAACGUUUGUUUAUUUUUGAGAGAGACGGAGACAGAA